CCCGGCCGGGCCCGCGCCCGUCCCGCCCGCCCCGCCCCCUACGGGAGGCAGCAGGGGGGAAUUUUGGACAAUGGGGGCAACCCUGAUCCAGCCAUUCCGCGUGAGUGAAGAAGGCCUUYGGGUUGUAAAGCUCUUUCGCAAGGGAAGAAAACUUAUGAUCGAAUAMAUCRUGAGGUUGACGGUACCUUGAUAAGAAGCACCGGCUAACUACGUGCCAGCAGCCGCGGUAAUACGUAGGGUGCGAGCGUUAAUCGGAAUUACUGGGCGUAAAGCGUGCGCAGGCGGUUUUGUAAGUCGGAUGUGAAAUCCCCGGGCUCAACCUGGGAACUGCGUUCGAAACUGCAAGGCUAGAGUGUGUCAGAGGGGGGUAGAAUUCCACGUGUAGCAGUGAAAUGCGUAGAGAUGUGGAGGAAUACCAAUGGCGAAGGCAGCCCCCUGGGAUAACACUGACGCUCAUGCACGAAAGCGUGGGGAGCAAACAAGAUUAGAAACCCCGGUAUCCAAAAAUUCC
Molecule: ribosomal RNA, 511 nt
Filed under: uncultured Methylotenera sp.
Lineage: Bacteria; Pseudomonadati; Pseudomonadota; Betaproteobacteria; Nitrosomonadales; Methylophilaceae
Description: bacterial SSU rRNA
Rfam family: Bacterial small subunit ribosomal RNA
Source: RNAcentral